This 195-nucleotide small nuclear RNA is filed under the name Macrophomina phaseolina MS6. Its description in RNAcentral is "U2 spliceosomal RNA". It matches the Rfam family "U2 spliceosomal RNA". From Rfam's summary of the family: U2 is a small nuclear RNA (snRNA) component of the spliceosome (involved in pre-mRNA splicing). Complementary binding between U2 snRNA (in an area lying towards the 5' end but 3' to hairpin I) and the branchpoint sequence (BPS) of the intron results the bulging out of an unpaired adenosine, on the BPS, which initiates a nucleophilic attack at the intronic 5' splice site, thus starting the first of two transesterification reactions that mediate splicing. The record is from Rfam by way of RNAcentral. Lineage: Eukaryota; Fungi; Ascomycota; Dothideomycetes; Botryosphaeriales; Botryosphaeriaceae.
CCAGCUCUCUUUGCCUUUUGGCUCUGAUCAAGUGCAGUAACUGUUCUUUUCAGAUUAGUCUUCUGAAAGCGCCCUACGGGGUUGCAUCAAAGAUUAACAAGUUUUUGGAAGCCGCCUGUGGGGCGCUGGGCUCCGCUUAUCUCCACAGGCACAGUGUCGCUCAUAUUGCACUGCCUUGAGCUGACGCGAACUUUC